This 282-nucleotide long non-coding RNA is filed under the name Mytilus galloprovincialis (Mediterranean mussel). The record is from RNAcentral. Lineage: Eukaryota; Metazoa; Mollusca; Bivalvia; Mytilida; Mytilidae.
AUUUUAUUUAAUUUUUAUUUUGUUGAUUUCACCGAGCUCUUGUGCAUUACUUCUUUUUAUUAUGCAUACGAAUAAGAAUAAAAGUUAUUUUGUCUUUUUUUAAUUGCACUUUUUAAAAGAAUAAAAUCGGCAAAGGGUCUGCAAAUAGGUUCCAAUACAUGUAGAUUUACGUGGGAAGUAUAUUGUAACAGCCAUCAUUAUGUAUAUCUCUGAGUCUGCGCUAAGUAUAUUUUAUCGAGAAUUUUAUCACAGUGUUGUUUACAAAGCUAAAGAAGCACGUCA